CCCCCCCCCCCAUUGUCACCUUCUUCCUCAUGAACCUAAGAAUCCAUACACACGCACAGAAACGGGAAGGGGAUAGCAGCGAAUCCAUUGAGCUAGAGCGAGGCAGACCGGUCGGAGGUUCAUGGAGGGUCUACGACGAGAUUAGUUAGGUCCGCGCCCUGUUUUGAUUUUGCUUCUGGAAUUUCUGUUCGGAAGUUUGUUAAGAAAUCUAUUCGAGAUCGUUUUAGGUUCGUCUCUCUGUUUAUUUUCUUAUUUUGUUUUGGUGAUUCAAUUCCCUGUUGCAAAGUUUCUGGAUUUUUAAUUUUUUUUUAGUUAGAAUAAAUGGCUAUUUCUUGUUGUGUUACUCUAGCUGAGUGGUAUUAUUGCUGAAGUUAUUGCACAAUUUCACCCAAUCUGGCUUUUCUGCCUUCAUUUGGGUUUUGUCCAGUGUUUGUUGCUGUGAUUAGCUAAACUUUCAUUUUUCAUUUCUGACCUUUAUUUGGUCGAUCUCUACUGCUGAGGGUUACUGCUCCUUGUUUGCAUUCUGAUAUGUUAUUUCAAACGAUAACGAAUUACUACAAAUAGGCAUAUAAUGAUUUGUAAUUACCUGUUCAAUGUCCUUACAUUGUUAGUAAUUAGUAGCAUAUAGACAAUUCCUAAGGAUAUGGUUGUUUGUGUGUUGAAAACCAGUAUAUGUAGUUUAUACCUGGGACAUGCGCUUUAGCUAUGAUAAGCUAUUUUGUUCAUUCUGCAUUCCUUUUUAUAUGUUCUUAUAAGAUGGUUUUGUUAUUUCAGUAUACGUGUUUUAGAAAUGUUUAGG
RNAcentral lists this long non-coding RNA (799 nucleotides) under Nicotiana benthamiana. RNAcentral describes it as "long non-coding RNA (NBEN_LNC031031)". The record is from RNAcentral. Lineage: Eukaryota; Viridiplantae; Streptophyta; Magnoliopsida; Solanales; Solanaceae.